This is an RNA transcript of Sapajus apella (tufted capuchin), 4165 nucleotides long. It is a transcript of the gene named myosin light chain kinase, smooth muscle pseudogene, with no coding region annotated. NCBI's taxonomy places the organism in Eukaryota, Metazoa, Chordata, Mammalia, Primates, Cebidae. The record is from RefSeq and is a predicted model, not a curated record. The transcript has a single exon.
GAUAAUGAAAAAAGAUCAGAGAGCCAGGGGACAGCCCCAGGCUUCCAGAAGAAGCUGCAAGAUGCUCGUGUGGCAGAGGGCGAGAAGCUGCUGCUUCAGUGUCAGGUGUCUUCUGACCCCCCAGCCACCAUCACCUGGACGCUGAAUGGAAAGACCCUCAAGACCACCAAGUUCAUCAUCCUCUCCCAAGAAGGCUCACUCUGCUCUGUCUCCAUCAAGAAGGCACUGUCUGAGGACAGAGGCUUAUACAAGUGUGUAGCCAAGAAUGACGCUGGCCAGGCUGAGUGCUCCUGCCAAGUCACCGUGGAUGAUGCUCCAGCCAGUGAGAACACCAAGGCCUGGGAGAUGAAAUCCCGGAGGCCCAAGAGCUUUCUUCCUCCUGUGCUAGGAACAGAGAGUGAUGCAACUGUGAAAAAGAAACCUGCCCCCAAGACGCCUCUGAAGGCAGCAAUGCUCCUUCAGAUCAUCCAGUUUCCUGAGGACCGGAAGGUCCGUGCAGGAGAGUCAGUGGAGCUGUUUGGAAAAGUGGCCGGCACCCAGUCCAUCACCUGUACCUGGAUGAAGUUCCGAAAGCAGAUCCAGGAGAGCGAGCACAUGAAUGUGGAGAACAGCGAGAACGGCAGCAAGCUCACCAUCCUGGCCGCGCACCAGGAGCACUGCGGCUGCUAUACACUGCUGGUGGAGAACAAGCUGGGCAGCAGGCAGGCCCAGGUCAACCUCACUGUCGUGGAUAAGCCAGACCCCCCAGCCGGCACACCUCGUGCCUCUGACAUUCGGAGCUCCUCGCUGACCCUGUCCUGGUAUGGCUCCUCGUAUGAUGGGGGCAGUGCUGUACAGUCCUACAGCAUCGAGAUCUGGGACUCAGCCAACAAGACAUGGAAGGAACUAGCCACAUGCUGCAGCACCUCUUUCAACGUCCAGGACCUACUGCCUGAUCACGAGUAUAAAUUCCGUGUACGUGCAAUCAGUGUAUAUGGAACCAGUGAGCCAAGCCAGGAGUCUGAGCUCACAAGAGUAGGAGAGAACCCUGAAGAGCCGAAGGAUGAAGUGGAAGUGUCAGACGAUGAUAAGAAGGAGCCUGAGGUUGAUUACCGGACGGUGACAGUCAAUACCGAACAAAAAGUAUCUGACUUCAUGACAUUGAAGAGAGAUUAGGAUCUGGGAAAUUUGGACAGGUCUUUUGACUUGUAGAAAAGAAAACUCGAAAAGUCUGGGCAGGGAAAUUCUUCAAAGUAUAUUCAGCAAAAGAGAAAGAGAAUAUCCGGCAGGAGAAUCGGCAUCAUGAACUGCCUCCACCACCCCAAGCUGGUCCAGUGUGUGGAUGCCUUCGAAGAAAAGGCCAACAUCGUCAUGGUCCUGGAGAUCGUGCCAGGGGAUGAGCUGUUUGAGCGCAUCAUUGAUGAGGACUUUGAACUGACGGAGCGCGAGUGCAUCAGGUACAUGCGGCAGAUCUCGGAGGGGGUGGAGUACAUCCACAAGCAGGGCAUUGUGCACCUGGACCUCAAGCCUGAGAGCAUCAUGUGUGUCAACAAGACGGGCGCCAGGAUCAAGCUCAUUGACUUUGGUCUGGCCAGGAGGCUGGAGAACGCGGAGUCUCUGAAGGUCCUCUUUGGCACUCCGGAGUUUGUGGCUCCUGAAGUGAUCAACUAUGAGCCCAUCAGCUAUGCCACAGACAUGUGGAGCAUCAGGGUCAUCUGCUACAUCCUGGUCAGUGGCCUUUCCCCCUUCAUGGGAGACAACGAUAAUGAAACCUUGGCCAACGUUACCUCAGCCACCUGGGACUUCAACGACAAGGCAUUCGAUGAGAUCUCCGAUGAUGCCAAGGAUGUCAUCAGCAGUCUGCUGAAGAAAGAUAUGAAAAACCGCCUGGACUGCACGCAGUGCCUUCAGCAUCCAUGGCUAACGAAAGGUACCAAUAACAUGGAGGCCAAGAAACUCUCCAAGGACCGGAUGAAGAAGUACAUGGCAAGAAGGAAAUGGCAGAAAACGGGCAAUGCUGUGAGAGCCAUUGGAAGGCUGUCCUCUAUGGCAAUGAUCUCGGGGCUCAGUGACAGGAAAACCUCAACAGGGUCACCAACCAGCCCACUCAAUGCAGAAAAACUAGAAUCUGAAGGUGUGUCCCAAGCUUUCCUUGAGGCCGUUGCUGAGGAAAAGCCCCAUGUAAAACCCUAUUUCUCUAAGACCAUUCGUGAUUUAGAAGUUGUGGAGGGAAGUGCUGCUAGAUUUGACUGCAAGAUUGAAGGAUACCCGGACCCCGAGGUUGUCUGGUUCAAAGAUGACCAGUCAAUCAGGGAGUCCUGCCACUUCCAGAUAGACUACGAUGAGGACGGGAACUGCUCUUUAAUUAUUAGUGAUGUUUGUGGGGAAGAUGAUGCCAAGUACACCUGCAAGGCUGUCAACAGUCUUGGAGAAGCCACCUGCACAGCAGAGCUCAUUGUGGAAACAAUGGAGGAAGGCGAAGGGGAAGGGGAAGAGGAAGAAGAGUGAAUCAAAGCCAGACAAAAGCAGUUUCUAAGUCAUAUUAAAAGGACUAGUUCUCUAAAACUCAAAAAAACUCAAGAUAGCAAAAGCACCUAGUUGUGAUAGAUUAUCUAGAUAGGUCAUUUUUGUGUUGAUUCUUCAGCAACAGCAGUUGGUACCUGGCAGCGUUAUUGAUGGGCAUUAAUCCACCUUAGCUGGCACUUAAGAUACUAGUGCCGCUAGAUUUCAUUUAGGGAAAUCACCAGUAACUUGCCUGACCAAUUGAUUUUAGAGAGAAAGUAACCAAACAAAAUGUUUAUCUGGGCAAAGUCAUAAAUUCUCCACUUGAAUGUGCUCAUGAAAAAUAAGGCCAAAAGGAGGGUUCUGGGCCACAGCUCAGCCCAGAGGGUCCCUGGAGACAGGAGGCCUUUCUCUCCUCACCCCCUGACUCCAGAGAACUGGGUUUUCUCCCAGUACUGCAGCACCUCCUUCUGAAAGCAGUUGAGCCAUUCUAACUUAUCAGGCACACUUGAUUCCAAAGUACACUGCAGGCAUUCAAACUCUCCAUUUCUCUUUCCCCUUCCACCUGCCAGUUUUUCUAGAUCUGAACUUGUCAUGAAUUUAAGCAUUAGCAACAUUAUGCUUCUUAAAUUCUGAAGACAGGUCCCCUGCUCAUGGAUGACUCUGGCUUCCUUAGGAAAAUAUUUUUCUUCCAAAAUCAGUAGGAACUCUAAACUUACCCCCUCUUUGCAAAUGUCUAGCAGCUUUAGACAUUUGGUUAAGAACCCAUGGGGAAAAAAAAUGCUAAUGUGGUUUUCUUUGUAACCAGGAUUCAUAUUUAUGUUGUUACAGAGUAUCAGUUCUGCAUGUGUGGUAAAGAUUUUUGUGUUUGAAUGCAGGAAAAACCAGUUUGCUGAAAUGUUAGUCUUAAUUAUCUAUUGGCCACUAUGAAACAGAUUUCAACUGAUAAAGAGCUGGAGAACUCCAUGUACUUUGGAAUCUUCUCCAAGACAGUCAGAGUUUAAUUCAUCUUCAUUCUCAACACUCUCCAAAGAACUCGACCUACCUUAUGGGUUCCAUAUCUUUCUUCUUAAAUGUGCAUCAAUCAUGCCUUGCCCUCAACCUUUAAAUAUAUUCUUAGACCUGGUAAAUGCACUCAGACUUGCACCUUUAGGAAUUUUUAGCUUUCUUUCACUACAUUGGCACUUAAAUUUUUUCUUUAUAAAACUUUUUGAAGGUCAUAAACAAAGACCAUAACUGAUAGACCUGAUACAUUUCCCGUGUGUGUGUGUGUGUGUGUGUGUGUGUAUGUGUGUGUGUAACAUUCCAAAUACUUUUUUCCCCCCACUGUUUGUAAGGUGCAGCCAUUUAAUAUUUUAAGGGACUUUUUAAAGAGUUCCUUAAGAAUCAAUUUAAAAUUACUUCAGUGCAAUACUACAUAGUAUCAACAUUAGAAUUUUGAUAUUAGUCUUACCUUAUCUUCCAUUCUAUUUUUAUCUGCUUUUUGCUGCUAGUUUCAAAUUGCCAGUAUUUUUCCUUUUGCUUUUAAAAUAGUUACAAUAUUUUUCAUAAUAGCCACAGUAUUGUCACAGUUUAUAAAGGGGUUUUAUUUGAUUUAGAGCAUUCAAAGCUUUUCUCCAUCACUUUUAAUUGUGUUCAGAAUAUAACCUUUGUGUGCAUGUAUGUUGUGUGUGUGCAUGUGUGG